UUUGGUGUGUGGAGUAACUUUUGAAUAAUAAGGCAAAAAAAAUUGCUUCAACUCAAUAGCUGCAUCCAUAAGGAAUAAUGACAGUGAUGUUCCAAUGUCAGUGUUCCUUUCUGUAAUAAUAAGCAUACAGUGCGGUAUGACUACACACACAAAGAUAUCGGGUGUUGACUGUAUUAACAUGGAACUUUAUUUUAGUAAUGUGGGUUUUUUUAUUAUUAUUUUUUAUUUUAUUUCUGCAGCUUGGAAAGUCUCUAAGCUAUUCUGAUUUCAGAAUCCCCCUCCUCAGUAAUCAGAGAGAAAGCUUUCAGAUGACAUGUCUAUUCAAGGCAAGGCUCUGACAACGUCCUUCAUGGCGACAUCUAAGUUAAUUAGACCACUUUCAGAAGACAGGAUUGCAUUUUGAUACUCAGAAUUUAAUAUUUGUGAAUUCCUUCAAUGUUAAAACACACCACCAUCUGCAAAACAAAUCCAGUCAGUCACUUUCUUCGAAGUGAUGUAACUUCUUGAGAGUGUACAAACAGUCCGCCACACCAAUAAGAAGUCUAUCUAAUGGAGUUAUCAUCCAGCUAUAAUUCUCUUACUAUCUGCUCGCGCUCACCCUGAAUUUCUGAUGUCAGCAUUUGAAAAAGCUCUCGGGCAACACAAGGGGAAUACUUACUCUGGGUUAGCACAACGUGCAGAAAAAGCAGCUCUGCUGAAGUUGUGUUAUUUGGACAGAGCUUAAUCCUGAAGCACCCUUCCUUAUACAGGCUGAAGUGUUGGGUGUUUUUGUGAUGCGCUAUCAGUGUUAUGCUUUGGUAUCAGGGAUGCUGCAUACAAAUCCUAAGCCUAUCCACACUGAAGCAGUGUUUUAAUAAGAAUACAGCAAAA
Long non-coding RNA from Centrocercus urophasianus (Greater sage-grouse), 870 nucleotides. RefSeq lists it as uncharacterized. NCBI's taxonomy places the organism in Eukaryota, Metazoa, Chordata, Aves, Galliformes, Phasianidae. The transcript has 4 exons. The record is from RefSeq and is a predicted model, not a curated record.